Long non-coding RNA from Vigna unguiculata (cowpea), 445 nucleotides. RefSeq lists it as uncharacterized. The record is from RefSeq and is a predicted model, not a curated record. Lineage: Eukaryota; Viridiplantae; Streptophyta; Magnoliopsida; Fabales; Fabaceae.
CAAAUUGUCAUACCGGACCAACAUCGGAUCUCACAUCCUCUCGCCGUCGUGUCGAUGAGGACCAUUUUCCUCUGUCGCUACUAGGGCAAGCUAGUGUUCGUAUUUGUUGGUGAUGGUAAAGGUACGAUGUGGUCUCUAGACACUUCCAAAGGGAUUGUAGAAAUUGGCAAGUUGGGUGAUUAUGUGACUAUGCCAAUCAUUCUUACUUUCGCCAACAAUCCCCGUAACCUCAGCAAGUUCAUACGAAAUGUUGUUGUGAACAAACUUAACAGGAAUGGAUUCCAAGGAAAUGAGGGAAUUUCUUGUAGAGGAAACUAGCAGUUGUAGCAAUGUGCAUUCAGGAGGAAGCACACAUACUCGACCUUUGAUCAAUGACAUGGUUAAAACCAUUAAUUUUUUAGCAAAGAUGCAACAUACAACAAAGACUUUUUUUAGAGGACAAAGA